AGAGAGAGACAUGCGCGCAUAUCAAUAAGCGGAGGAAAAGAAACUAACAAGGAUUCCCUUAGUAACGGCGAGUGAAGCGGGAAGAGCUCAAAUUUGAAAUCUUCAAGGUUUUACCUUGACGAAUUGUAGUUUAAAGAAGUGUUUUCUGCUGGAGUUUUGGUAAAAGUUCUUUGGAAUAGGACAUCAUAGAGGGUGAGAAUCCCGUAUUUGACCAUUAUUUUCAGCUUUGUGAUACACUUUCAAAGAGUCGGAUUGUUUGGGAAUGCAGUCCAAAAUGGGUGGUAAAUUUCAUCUAAAGCUAAAUAUUGGCGAGAGACCGAUAGCGAACAAGUACCGUGAGGGAAAGAUGAAAAGAACUUUGAAAAGAGAGUUAAACAGUACGUGAAAUUGUCAAAAGGGAAGCGUUUGACACCAGUGUUGUUUUCUCGAAAAUCAAUUAAAAAUGGCUCGAUUUUGUAUUGUUGGGACCUUAAAAGCUCACUGUACAUUUUUCGUGUCUUUUUUAAUGCACUUUUCGUUUAACAAGUCAACAUCAGUUUCUUUUGUUGUAAAAGGGUCAUUGGAAGGUGGCUUUCUUUUCGGAGAAAGUGUUUAUAGCCUUUGGCCUCUGCAAUCGGAGAGACUGAGGUCUGCAGCGUAGACUCUUCGGGGUUAGAUACAUUUGUGCUGAGUUAUAGCUUUUUAUAGACAACUUGUUGACUAUAAUUAGUCUUGUAGCUUACUCGCUUAUGCUAUUUUACCUACGCUUAGGAUGUUGAAGAUGUAGCACAUCAU
Molecule: ribosomal RNA, 774 nt
Filed under: uncultured Neocallimastigales
Lineage: Eukaryota; Fungi; Neocallimastigomycota; Neocallimastigomycetes; Neocallimastigales
Description: partial large subunit ribosomal RNA
Rfam family: Eukaryotic large subunit ribosomal RNA
Source: RNAcentral